GUAGUGAUGUAAUUUUGUGUCCCUAUAUAAUUAUUAUGUAGAGAUGUAAUUACCUGUAGCUAUGUGUACUACAGGUAGAGAUGUAAUUACCUGUAGCUAUGUGUACUACAGGUAGAGAUGUAAUUACCUGUAGCAAUGUGUACUACAAGUAGAGAUGUAAUUACCUGUAGCUAUGUGUACUACAGGUAGAGAUGUAAUUACCUGUAGCAAUGUGUACUACAAGUAGAGAUGUAAUUACCUGUAGCUAUGUGUACCAGUAGCUAAAAUUGUUUUUGCACUUGUGUAUAUGUUGUAUUCGCUAUGAGACAGUAGAACACAAUAUUUAGUUAAAAUUGAAUCAUCUGUGAAUUUAUAUACAAUUCUCGUCACAUAAAAGCCUGCUAGGACAUGAAAUAAAGACAUAGUGUUAAUUUUUAAACUUUUUGCUUAAUUCAUGUGAAUAUUGAAUAUAAAUUAUGUGAUAAAUAUCAGUGUUAUAAGAAAUCAUUCAAUAAGGUAAAUAAAUUCAAAGUGACAUGGACAUGUUUGUAAGAUGAUGUGUAUCAUGUUUUAUCACCUCAGGUAAUUUAGUGCAGUCAUUAAUAAGAUAUAUUUUUUAGUUUGACAAUCUAGUGCUCUAAACAUGUAUACAACAAAAAGAUCAUGUAUGUAUUUAUAGUAAUACAACAUAUCUGGUUUGGUACAUCGCAUUAAUAAAUAACUAUAUAUGUA
Molecule: long non-coding RNA, 711 nt
Organism: Pecten maximus
Lineage: Eukaryota; Metazoa; Mollusca; Bivalvia; Pectinida; Pectinidae
Exons: 2
Source: RefSeq, a predicted model, not a curated record